CCUACGGGAGGCAGCAGUGAGGAAUAUUGCGCAAUGGGGGAAACCCUGACGCAGCAACGCCGCGUGGGUGAAGAAGGCCUUCGGGUCGUAAAGCCCUUUCGGACGGGACGAACGCUCCGCGGUGACAACCCGCGGAGUCUGACGGUACCGUAAGAAGAAGCACCGGCUAACUCCGUGCCAGCAGCCGCGGUAAUACGGAGGGUGCAAGCGUUGUUCGGAAUUACUGGGCGUAAAGCGCGUGUAGGCGGCCUUGCAAGCCAGACGUGAAAGCCCUCGGCUUAACCGGGGAAGUGCGUCUGGAACUGCUCGGCUCGAGUACGGGAGAGGGAGGCGGAAUUCCCAGUGUAGAGGUGAAAUUCGUAGAUAUUGGGAGGAACACCGGUGGCGAAAGCGGCCUCCUGGACCGAUACUGACGCUGAGACGCGAAAGCGUGGGGAGCAAACAGGAUUAGAUACCCUGGUAGUCCACGCGGUAAACGAUGGGCACUAGGUGUGGGGGGUAUCCACUCCUCCCGUGCCGCAGCUAACGCACUAAGUGCCCCGCCUGGGGAGUACGGCCGCAAGGUUAAAACUUAAAGGAAUUGACGG
Molecule: ribosomal RNA, 587 nt
Filed under: uncultured bacterium
Lineage: Bacteria
Description: bacterial SSU rRNA
Rfam family: Bacterial small subunit ribosomal RNA
Source: RNAcentral